GACGAACGCUGGCGGCGUGCUUAACACAUGCAAGUCGAACGGAAAGGCCCUGCUUUUGUGGGGUGCUCGAGUGGCGAACGGGUGAGUAACACGUGAGUAACCUGCCCUUGACUUUGGGAUAACUUCAGGAAACUGGGGCUAAUACCGGAUAGGAGCUCCUGCUGCAUGGUGGGGGUUGGAAAGUUUCGGCGGUUGGGGAUGGACUCGCGGCUUAUCAGCUUGUUGGUGGGGUAGUGGCUUACCAAGGCUUUGACGGGUAGCCGGCCUGAGAGGGUGACCGGCCACAUUGGGACUGAGAUACGGCCCAGACUCCUACGGGAGGCAGCAGUGGGGAAUAUUGCACAAUGGGCGGAAGCCUGAUGCAGCAACGCCGCGUGCGGGAUGACGGCCUUCGGGUUGUAAACCGCUUUCGCCUGUGACGAAGCGUGAGUGACGGUAAUGGGUAAAGAAGCACCGGCUAACUACGUGCCAGCAGCCGCGGUGAUACGUAGGGUGCGAGCGUUGUCCGGAUUUAUUGGGGGUAAAGGGCUCGUAGGUGGUUGAUCGCGUCGGAAGUGUAAUCUUGGGGCUUAACCCUGAGCGUGCUUUCGAUACGGGUUGACUUGAGGAAGGUAGGGGAGAAUGGAAUUCCUGGUGGAGCGGUGGAAUACGCAGAUAUCAGGAGGAACACCAGUGGCGAAGGCGGUUCUCUGGGCCUUUCCUGACGCUGAGGAGCGAAAGCGUGGGGAGCGAACAGGCUUAGAUACCCUGGUAGUCCACGCUGUAAACGGUGGGUACUAGGUGUGGGGUCCAUUCCACGGGUUCCGUGCCGUAGCUAACGCUUUAAGUACCCCGCCUGGGGAGUACGGCCGCAAGGCUAAAACUCAAAGGAAUUGACGGGGCCCCGCACAAGCGGCGGAGCAUGCGGAUUAAUUCGAUGCAACGCGUAGAACCUUACCUGGGUUUGACAUGGAUCGGGAGUGCUCAGAGAUGGGUGUGCCUCUUUUGGGGUCGGUUCACAGGUGGUGCAUGGCUGUCGUCAGCUCGUGUCGUGAGAUGUUGGGUUAAGUCCCGCAACGAGCGCAACCCUUGUUCACUGUUGCCAGCACGUUAUGGUGGGGACUCAGUGGAGACCGCCGGGGUCAACUCGGAGGAAGGUGGGGAUGACGUCAAGUCAUCAUGCCCCUUAUGUCCAGGGCUUCACGCAUGCUACAAUGGCUGGUACAGAGAGUGGCGAGCCUGUGAGGGUGAGCGAAUCUCGGAAAGCCGGUCUCAGUUCGGAUUGGGGUCUGCAACUCGACCUCAUGAAGUCGGAGUCGCUAGUAAUCGCAGAUCAGCAACGCUGCGGUGAAUACGUUCCCGGG
Molecule: ribosomal RNA, 1343 nt
Filed under: uncultured bacterium
Lineage: Bacteria
Description: 16S ribosomal RNA
Rfam family: Bacterial small subunit ribosomal RNA
Source: RNAcentral